This 345-nucleotide ribosomal RNA is filed under the name uncultured bacterium. RNAcentral's name for it is "bacterial SSU rRNA". It matches the Rfam family "Bacterial small subunit ribosomal RNA", at positions 373 to 710 of the family's 1533-position model. The record is from RNAcentral.
GGGCGCAAKYCUGAUGCAGCCAUGCCGCGUGUAUGAAGAAGGCCUUCGGGUUGUAAAGUACUUUCAGCGGGGAGGAAGGGAGUAAAGUUAAUACCUUUGCUCAUUGACGUUACCCGCAGAAGAAGCACCGGCUAACUCCGUGCCAGCAGCCGCGGUAAUACGGAGGGUGCAAGCGUWAAUCGGAAUUACUGGGCGUAAAGGGCUCGUAGGCGGUUCKUYGCGUCCGGUGUGAAAGUCCAUCGCUUAACGGUGGAUCUGCGCCGGGUACGGGCGGGCUGGAGUGCGGUAGGGGAGACUGGAAUUCCCGGUGUAACGGUGGAAUGUGUAGAUAUCGGGAAGAACACC